RNAcentral lists this ribosomal RNA (253 nucleotides) under uncultured bacterium. RNAcentral describes it as "partial 16S ribosomal RNA". It matches the Rfam family "Bacterial small subunit ribosomal RNA", at positions 524 to 776 of the family's 1533-position model. The record is from RNAcentral.
GACAGAGGGGGCAAGCGUUGCUCGGAAUUACUGGGCGUAAAGGGCGCGUAGGCGGGCUGGCAAGUCGGUCGUGAAAUCCCUCGGCUCAACUGAGGAGCGUCGAUCGAAACUGCCGUUCUUGAGGGUUGCAGAGGAGACUGGAAUUCCCGGUGUAGCGGUGAAAUGUGUAGAGAUCGGGAGGAACACCGGUGGCGAAGGCGGUUCUCUGGGCCUGACCUGACGCUGAGGAGCGAAAGCGUGGGGAGCGAACAGG